CCUACGGGAGGCAGCAGUAGGGAAUCUUCCACAAUGGGCGAAAGCCUGAUGGAGCAACGCCGCGUGGGUGAAGAAGGUCUUCGGAUCGUAAAACCCUGUUGUUAGAGAAGAAAGUGCGUGAGAGUAACUGUUCACGUUUCGACGGUAUCUAACCAGAAAGCCACGGCUAACUACGUGCCAGCAGCCGCGGUAAUACGUAGGUGGCAAGCGUUAACCGGAUUUAUUGGGCGUAAAGGGAACGCAGGCGGUCUUUUAAGUCUGAUGUGAAAGCCUUCGGCUUAACCGGAGUAGGGCAUUGGAAACUGGGAAACUUGAGUGCAGAAGAGGAGAGUGGAACUCCAUGUGUAGCGGUGAAAUGCGUAGAUAUAUGGAAGAACACCAGUGGCGAAAGCGGCUCUCUGGUCUGUAACUGACGCUGAGGUUCGAAAGCGUGGGUAGCAAACAGGAUUAGAUACCCGUGUAGUC
This 465-nucleotide ribosomal RNA is filed under the name uncultured bacterium. RNAcentral's name for it is "partial 16S ribosomal RNA". It matches the Rfam family "Bacterial small subunit ribosomal RNA", at positions 338 to 795 of the family's 1533-position model. The record is from RNAcentral.